RNAcentral lists this ribosomal RNA (399 nucleotides) under uncultured fungus. RNAcentral's name for it is "SSU rRNA". It matches the Rfam family "Eukaryotic small subunit ribosomal RNA", at positions 249 to 640 of the family's 1831-position model. The record is from RNAcentral. Lineage: Eukaryota; Fungi.
UUUCAUAAUAACCUUCUCGAAUCGCAUGGCCUUGUGCGCGGCGAUGCUUCAUUCAAAUAUCUGCCCUAUCAACUUUCGAUGGUCAGGAUCAGCAGGCUACAUGGUUUCAACGGGUAACGGGGAAUAAGGGUUCGAUUCCAGGAGAGGGAGCCUGAGAAACUGGCUACCACAUCCAAGGAAGGCAGCAGGCGCGCAAAUUACCCAAUCCCGACACGGGGAGGUAGUGACAAUAACAUAACAAUAUAGGGCUCUUUCGGGUCUUGAUAAUUGGAAUGAGUACAAUUUAAAUCCCUUAACGAGGAACAAUUGGGAGGGCAAGUCUGGUGCCAGAGCCGAGGGAAAUUCCAGCUCCAAUAGCGUAUAUUACAGUUGUGCAGUUAAAAAGCUCGUAGUUUGAAA